AUUGAACGCUGGCGGCAUGCCUUACACAUGCAAGUCGAACGGCAGCACGGGUGCUUGCACCUGGUGGCGAGUGGCGAACGGUUGAGUAAUACAUCGGAACGUACCUUAUCGUGGGGGAUAACGCAGCGAAAGCUGUGCUAAUACCGCAUACGCCCUGAGGGGGAAAGCGGGGGAUCGCAAGACCUCGCGCGAUUAGAGCGGCCGAUGCCUGAUUAGCUUGUUGGUGGGGUAAAAUCCCACCAAGGGGACGAUCAGUAGCUGGUCUGAGAGGACGGUAAGCCAAACUGGGACUGGGAGACGGCCCAGACUCCUACGGGAGGCAGCAGUGGGGAAUUUUGGACAAUGGGGGCAACCCUGAUCCAGCAAUGGCGCGUGAGUGAAGAAGGCCUUCGGGUUGUAAAGCUCUUUUGUCAGGGAAGAAACACCGGCUCUAACACAGUCCGGGAAUGACGGUACCUGAAGAAUAAGCACCGGCUAACUACGUGCCAGCCGCCGCGGUAA
RNAcentral lists this ribosomal RNA (501 nucleotides) under uncultured bacterium. RNAcentral describes it as "partial 16S ribosomal RNA". It matches the Rfam family "Bacterial small subunit ribosomal RNA", at positions 29 to 523 of the family's 1533-position model. The record is from RNAcentral.